RNAcentral lists this ribosomal RNA (388 nucleotides) under Gephyrocapsa sp. RNAcentral's name for it is "partial small subunit ribosomal RNA". It matches the Rfam family "Eukaryotic small subunit ribosomal RNA", at positions 582 to 975 of the family's 1831-position model. Lineage: Eukaryota; Haptophyta; Isochrysidales; Noelaerhabdaceae. The record is from RNAcentral.
AUUCCAGCUCCAAUAGCGUAUAUUAAAGUUGUUGCAGUUAAAACGCUCGUAGUCGGAUUUCGGGGCGGGCCGAACGGUCUGCCGAUGGGUAUGCACUGGCCGGCGCGUCCUUCCACCCGGAGACCGCGCCUACUCUUAACUGAGCGGGCGCGGGAGACGGGUCUUUUACUUUGAAAAAAUCAGAGUGUUUCAAGCAGGCAGUCGCUCUUGCAUGGAUUAGCAUGGGAUAAUGAAAUAGGACUCUGGUGCUAUUUUGUUGGUUUCGAACACCGGAGUAAUGAUUAACAGGGACAGUCAGGGGCACUCGUAUUCCGCCGAGAGAGGUGAAAUUCUUAGACCAGCGGAAGACGAACCACUGCGAAAGCAUUUGCCAGGGAUGUUUUCAUUG